RNAcentral lists this ribosomal RNA (429 nucleotides) under Bacteroidota bacterium. RNAcentral describes it as "Bacteroidetes bacterium partial 16S ribosomal RNA". It matches the Rfam family "Bacterial small subunit ribosomal RNA", at positions 355 to 776 of the family's 1533-position model. The record is from RNAcentral. Lineage: Bacteria; Pseudomonadati; Bacteroidota.
UAGGGAAUCUUCCGCAAUGGGCGAAAGCUUGACGGAGCAACGCCGCGUGAGUGAUGAAGGUCUUCGGAUCGUAAAACUCUGUUAUUAGGGAAGAACAAAUGUGUAAGUAACUAUGCACGUCUUGACGGUACCUAAUCAGAAAGCCACGGCUAACUACGUGCCAGCAGCCGCGGUAAUACGUAGGUGGCAAGCGUUAUCCGGAAUUAUUGGGCGUAAAGCGCGCGUAGGCGGUUUUUUAAGUCUGAUGUGAAAGCCCACGGCUCAACCGUGGAGGGUCAUUGGAUACUGGAAAACUUGAGUGCAGAAGAGGAAAGUGGAAUUCCAUGUGUAGCGGUGAAAUGCGCAGAGAUAUGGAGGAACACCAGUGGCGAAGGCGACUUUCUGGUCUGUAACUGACGCUGAUGUGCGAAAGCGUGGGGAUCAAACAGG